GACGAACGCUGGCGGCGUGCUUAACACAUGCAAGUCGAACGAAGAGCGACGGAAGCUUGCUUCUAUCAAUCUUAGUGGCGAGCGGGUGAGUAACGCGUAAUCAACCUGCCCUUCAGAGGGGGACAACAGUUGGAAACGACUGCUAAUACCGCAUACGAUCUAAUCUCGGCAUCGAGGAUGGAUGAAAGGUGGCCUCUACAUGUAAGCUAUCACUGAAGGAGGGGAUUGCGGCUGAUUAGCUAGUUGGAGGGGUAACGGCCCACCAAGGCGAUGAUCAGUAGCCGGUCUGAGAGGAUGGACGGCCACACUGGGAGUGAGACACGGCCCAGACUCCUACGGGAGGCAGCAGUGGGGAAUCUUCCGCAAUGGACGAAAGUCUGACGGAGCAACGCCGCGUGAGUGAUGACGGCCGUCGGGUUGGAAAGCUCUGUUAAUCGGGACGAAAGGCCUUCUUGCGAAUAGUGAGAAGGAGUGACGGUACCGGAAUAGAAAGCCACGGCUAACUACGUG
RNAcentral lists this ribosomal RNA (510 nucleotides) under uncultured bacterium. Its description in RNAcentral is "partial 16S ribosomal RNA". It matches the Rfam family "Bacterial small subunit ribosomal RNA", at positions 28 to 507 of the family's 1533-position model. The record is from RNAcentral.